Molecule: ribosomal RNA, 252 nt
Filed under: uncultured Pelotomaculum sp.
Lineage: Bacteria; Bacillati; Bacillota; Clostridia; Eubacteriales; Desulfotomaculaceae
Description: partial 16S ribosomal RNA
Rfam family: Bacterial small subunit ribosomal RNA
Source: RNAcentral
CGAGCACUCUAGACGAACUGCCGUUGACAAAACGGAGGAAGGUGGGGAUGACGUCAAAUCAUCAUGCCCCUUAUGUUCUGGGCUACACACGUGCUACAAUGGCCGGUACAGACGGAGGCGAAGCCGCGAGGCGGAGCAAAUCCGAAAAAGCCGGUCUCAGUUCGGAUUGCAGGCUGCAAUUCGCCUGCAUGAAGUCGGAAUCGCUAGUAAUCGCAGGUCAGCAUACUGCGGUCGAAUACGUUCCCGGGCCUU